Non-coding RNA from Parasteatoda tepidariorum (common house spider), 2044 nucleotides. Lineage: Eukaryota; Metazoa; Arthropoda; Arachnida; Araneae; Theridiidae. The record is from RefSeq and is a predicted model, not a curated record.
AUAUCUACGACAGUAGUGUAACCAGUGUGAAUAUUGGAACGCGACCCAUAUCAACGAAACAACACUUGAUUGCACCUAUUAGCAAUAAAACAAUAACAGCACAAGAAUUACGCAGUAAAGUGUAUUCCUCCGCGCAAUUUCUUCAACAGGGUUACUUUUUCGAUAAUACUUUGGUGAGAAAUAAAUUCUAGGCAAGCAUUUCAAGCGCUUUUGCUCAGCCGGCUGUACGUGGAGAUAUAAAUUUUCAGGAAUACAAACACAAACAGUCCGAUUCAUUGCAAGAUUUGAUGAUAUUCUUUGGUUAGCUAAUUAAAAAAAAAUCGUUUAAUUUAUAAAUAAUUAUAUUAUUCAUCAAUUACUAGAUAUGAUGACAUGGCUUCUUCUAAAGAAAAUAAUGGUACAAUUUCUCCUAAGUUAUCUCCACCAAUGCCAUGGUUUGGAAUGGACAUUGGUGGAUCUUUAGUAAAACUUGUUUACUUUGAGCCUAUUGAUUUUGCUAGUGAAUUAGAAUCUGAAAAAGGAGCUUUGAAAAAAAUUCACCAUUAUUUAACCACUAAUUCUGCUUAUGGCUCAACAGGAAAAAGAGAUGUACAUCUUCAGAUGGAUAAUGUUUUGAUAGGUGGUAGAGUUGGAACUCUACAUUUUGUUCGUUUUCCAACUAGUGAGAUGAGUGUAUUUUUACAAUUAGCUAAAUCUAAAGGAAUGUCCUAUAUGGCUAGCACAGUUUGUGCUACUGGUGGUGGUGCAUUUAAAUUUGAAGGAGACUUUCGAAGAGUGGUAAAGAUGGAGCUUCAUAAGUUUGAUGAAUUAGAGUCUUUGAUAAGAGGAAUAAAUUAUAUUAAUGCUUAUAAUAAACCAGAAUGCUAUUAUUUUAUUGAUCCAACUGAUGAUAGCAAGUGUAAAAGAGAAGAUUUUGAUUUACAUAAUUUAUAUCCCUUUCUUGUUGUUAAUAUUGGCUCUGGAGUGAGCAUUCUAGUGGUUUAUUCCCAAGACAAUUUUAAAAGAGUUUCAGGAACAAGUUUAGGUGGAGGCUCUUUUUUAGGACUUUGUUGUUUACUUACUGGUUGUGAAUCUUUUGAAGAAGCUAUUUCAUUAGCAGAAAAGGGGGACAACACAAUUGUUGAUAAACUUGUGCGAGAUAUAUAUGGAGGCAGUUAUGACAAAUUUAAUCUUGAUGGUGAUGUUGUUGCUUGCAGCUUUGGACAUAUGGCUAGUUAUUCCAGAAGAUGCAAAGCCUCAAAAGAAGAUUUAGCUCGAGCUACAUUAGUUACUAUAACAAACAACAUAGGAUCCAUAGCAAGAAUGUGUGCACUGAAUGAGGGAAUUGACAAAGUUGUCUUUAUUGGAAAUUUUCUAAGAGUUAAUAAUUUAUCCAUGAAACUAUUAGCCUAUGCAAUGGAUUUUUGGUCAAAAGGAGCUCUGAAAGCUUUAUUUUUAAAACAUGAGGGUUAUUUUGGAGCUAUAGGUUGUUUAAUGGAACUUAUGAAAACUGGCACUUAAGUUUUGUAAAUAUGUCUAUGAACAUUUAAAAAUUGUUCUGAUUGAGACUCUGUAUUGACAAACCUGAAAUCAACAAAACAAUAAGUUAAAAAGUGUCACACAUAGUGCUAAUGGAUGAAUUCAUGAUUGGAAUACUAUAACACAGAACAUCUAGAUCAUUUGUUAUAGGAAAUUGGUAACGUCAUUUUUAAACAUAUCUAAGCAACUAAAAUGUGUUGAAGGCUUGUGUUGCAAGAGUAGUGCAACAUCAAAUGAACAUGGAAAUGUUCUAUGGGCAUUCGUUAUGUAUUUUACAUUGAUAGAAGCUAUUUAUUUUUAUUUGUUGCUAUAAACAAAGUUUUCAUUUAAAACUUAUUUUCAUAGAAUAUUUAUGAACUUUAUCAUUUAUUCAUUUUAUAAUGUUUUUUAAAUAUGUGCAUUGUUUUGUUAAAAAAUGGAUAAAUGCUAAUUUUGUAUAAAAUUUGGCUGGUAUCUGUCAUAUGCAAAUUUGUAAAUGAAAUUUUUCUUGUAAAUCUGAUGAAGCCAAAUUUUUUUUAUAUAGUAU